This 371-nucleotide ribosomal RNA is filed under the name uncultured bacterium. RNAcentral's name for it is "bacterial SSU rRNA". It matches the Rfam family "Bacterial small subunit ribosomal RNA", at positions 28 to 408 of the family's 1533-position model. The record is from RNAcentral.
GACGAACGCUGGCGGCGUGCAUAACACAUGCAAGUCAAGGGGGCCCGCAAGGGCAACCGGCGAACGGGUGCGUAACACGUAAGCGACCUACCUCGAUGUGGGGCAUAGCCGGCCUAACGGCCGGGUAAUUCCGCAUACGCUCUUGGAGGGGCAUAUCUCCGAGAUGAAACCAGCAAUGGGCAUUGAGAGGGGCUUGCGGCCUAUCAGCUAGUUGGUGAGGUAACGGCNCACCAAGGCUACGACGGGUAGCUGGUCUGAGAGGAUGGCCAGCCACAUUGGGACUGAGAAACGGCCCAGACUCCUACGGGAGGCAGCAGUGGGGAAUAUUGGACAAUGGGCGCAAGCCUGAUCCAGCCAUGCCGCGUGAGUGA